GGAAAGUUUUUACCUUCUCGAUAAAGAUGACAUCAAAGACUUGAUCACGAAAGUUGGACCAAGGGCAAAAUUCAAGAAGAGACUCAAGUCUCUGAAGGGGGAGAAAAAUGCAACAAAUCAGGAACAUGAAGAAACUGCUGAUUCUGCUCAGGUUUUGGCCAACAGUAACACAAGAGAUAAAG
Labrus bergylta (ballan wrasse) is the source of this 182-nucleotide non-coding RNA. Lineage: Eukaryota; Metazoa; Chordata; Actinopteri; Labriformes; Labridae. The record is from RefSeq and is a predicted model, not a curated record.